This 1106-nucleotide ribosomal RNA is filed under the name Vibrio parahaemolyticus. RNAcentral's name for it is "bacterial LSU rRNA". It matches the Rfam family "Bacterial large subunit ribosomal RNA", at positions 362 to 1482 of the family's 2925-position model. The record is from RNAcentral. Lineage: Bacteria; Pseudomonadati; Pseudomonadota; Gammaproteobacteria; Vibrionales; Vibrionaceae.
GGGUGAUAGUCCCGUAGUUGACGACGUGUGUUCAGUGAAAUCGAGUAGGGCGGGACACGUGAUAUCCUGUCUGAAUAUGGGGGGACCAUCCUCCAAGGCUAAAUACUACUGACUGACCGAUAGUGAACCAGUACCGUGAGGGAAAGGCGAAAAGAACCCCUGUGAGGGGAGUGAAAUAGAACCUGAAACCGUGUACGUACAAGCAGUAGGAGCAGGCUUUGUCCUGUGACUGCGUACCUUUUGUAUAAUGGGUCAGCGACUUAUAUUCAGUGGCAAGGUUAACCAUCUAGGGGAGCCGUAGGGAAACCGAGUCUUAACUGGGCGUUCAGUCUCUGGAUAUAGACCCGAAACCAGGUGAUCUAGCCAUGGGCAGGUUGAAGGUUGAGUAACAUCAACUGGAGGACCGAACCGACUAAUGUUGAAAAAUUAGCGGAUGACUUGUGGCUAGGGGUGAAAGGCCAAUCAAACCUGGAGAUAGCUGGUUCUCCCCGAAAGCUAUUUAGGUAGCGCCUCGGACGAAUACUACUGGGGGUAGAGCACUGUUAAGGCUAGGGGGUCAUCCCGACUUACCAACCCUUUGCAAACUCCGAAUACCAGUAAGUACUAUCCGGGAGACACACGGCGGGUGCUAACGUCCGUCGUGGAGAGGGAAACAACCCAGACCGCCAGCUAAGGUCCCAAAUUACUACUAAGUGGGAAACGAUGUGGGAAGGCUCAGACAGCCAGGAUGUUGGCUUAGAAGCAGCCAUCAUUUAAAGAAAGCGUAAUAGCUCACUGGUCGAGUCGGCCUGCGCGGAAGAUGUAACGGGGCUAAGUAGUAAACCGAAGCUGCGGCAAUGUGCUUUUGCACAUUGGGUAGGGGAGCGUUCUGUAAGCGGUUGAAGGUGUGUGGUAACGCAUGCUGGACGUAUCAGAAGUGCGAAUGCUGACAUGAGUAACGAUAAAGGGGGUGAAAAACCUCCUCGCCGGAAGACCAAGGGUUCCUGUCCAACGUUAAUCGGGGCAGGGUAAGUCGACCCCUAAGGCGAGGCCGAAAGGCGUAGUCGAUGGGAAACGGGUUAAUAUUCCCGUACUUCUUACAAUUGCGAUGGGGGGACGGAGAAGGC